Molecule: ribosomal RNA, 420 nt
Filed under: uncultured bacterium
Lineage: Bacteria
Description: bacterial SSU rRNA
Rfam family: Bacterial small subunit ribosomal RNA
Source: RNAcentral
AUUGAACGCUGGCGGCACGCUUAACACAUGCAAGUCGAACGGCAGCAGCGAUGGUUUCGGCCAUCGGCUGGCGAGUGGCGGACGGGUGAGUAAUGCGUAGGAAUUUGCCUUAGUGAGGGGGAUAACUCGGGGAAACUCGGGCUAAUACCGCAUACGUUCUGAGGAAGAAAGGUGGGUACUUCGGUAUCUGUCGCACUAAGAGAAGCCUACGUUGGAUUAGCUUGUUGGUAGGGUAAAGGCCUACCAAGGCGACGAUCCAUAGCUGGCCUGAGAGGGUGAACAGCCACACUGGGACUGAGACACGGCCCAGACUCCUACGGGAGGCAGCAGUGGGGAAUAUUGGACAAUGGGGGAAACCCUGAUCCAGCGAUGCCGCGUGUGUGAAGAAGGCCUGCGGGUUGUAAAGCACUUUUGCUGGGA